CACACUUUGAUUAUUGAAUAAAUUUCAUUGCCUUUGGUAGAACUUUAACAAGUGAGAAUUCUUAUUCUUCUUGUUGCAUUAAGAAUUGAAUUAAUUUAUCAAGCUAUCUUGUGGUGUUUAUUCAUUCUUGCUUCUUUCAUCCCAAUCACCCAAGUUCUCAAUUGCAGGUUAGUUGUGGGUUUGGUAGGGAUGAUUUAUUUAGGGGUUUAAGUUAUCUAUGCU
This 222-nucleotide long non-coding RNA is filed under the name Carica papaya (papaya). RNAcentral describes it as "long non-coding RNA (CPAP_LNC006787)". Lineage: Eukaryota; Viridiplantae; Streptophyta; Magnoliopsida; Brassicales; Caricaceae. The record is from RNAcentral.